UAUCGCUCAGAUUUGAAAUCUGGCGCCUUCGGUGUCCGAGUUGUAAUUUGAAGAAGGUAUCUUUGGUUUUGGCUCUUGUCUAUGUUCCUUGGAACAGGACGUCACAGAGGGUGAGAAUCCCGUGCGAUGAGAUGCCCAAUUCCAUGUAAAGUUCCUUCGACGAGUCGAGUUGUUUGGGAAUGCAGCUCUAAGUGGGUGGUAAAUUCCAUCUAAAGCUAAAUAUUGGCGAGAGACCGAUAGCGAACAAGUACUGUGAAGGAAAGAUGAAAAGAACUUUGAAAAGAGAGUGAAAAAGUACGUGAAAUUGUUGAAAGGGAAGGGCUUGAGGUCAGACUUGGUUUUACCAGGCCAGCAUCAGUUUGGAUGGCAGGAUAAUAGCUUAGGAAUGUGGCACUGCUUCGGUAGUGUGUUAUAGCCUGGGUUGAUACUGCCUGUCUAGACUGAGGACUGCGUCUUUGACUAGGAUGCUGGCAUAAUGACCUUAAGCC
RNAcentral lists this ribosomal RNA (488 nucleotides) under Yamadazyma mexicana. Its description in RNAcentral is "eukaryotic LSU rRNA". It matches the Rfam family "Eukaryotic large subunit ribosomal RNA", at positions 103 to 646 of the family's 3401-position model. Lineage: Eukaryota; Fungi; Ascomycota; Pichiomycetes; Serinales; Debaryomycetaceae. The record is from RNAcentral.